Molecule: ribosomal RNA, 505 nt
Filed under: Bittium impendens
Lineage: Eukaryota; Metazoa; Mollusca; Gastropoda; Cerithiidae
Description: partial 16S ribosomal RNA
Rfam family: Bacterial large subunit ribosomal RNA
Source: RNAcentral
GGCUCUUUGAAACUUUUUAGAUAAAGAGUCGAACCUGCCCAGUGAAAUUUCAACGGCCGCGGUACUCUGACCGUGCAAAGGUAGCAUAAUCAUUUGCCUUAUAAUUGAAGGCUAGUAUGAAUGGUUUGACGAGGGCAUUACUGUUUCCUUUCUAAUCAUUAGAAUUUGACCUGCAGGUGAAGAGGCCUGCUGAAGACUGAAGGACGAGAAGACCCUGUCGAGCUUUAGAGAAAGAUAGAUUAAACUUAUAAUAAUAGAUAAAGAACUAUAUUUACUCAUUGGUUGGGGCGACCAGGGAACAUAAGAAGCUUCCCAAAAAUAAAUCACCUAUAAGUAAAGAUCCAGUAUUUCUGAUCAAAAGAAUUAGUUACCGCAGGGAUAACAGCAUAAUCUCCCUUGAGAGACCUAAUCGAAAGGGGGGGUUGUGACCUCGAUGUUGGACUAGGAUAUCCUAAAGGUGCAGAAGCCUUUAAUGGUUGGUCUGUUCGACCAUUAAAAUCCUACG